GACUGAUAUUAUUUAUGAUUUGAAAUCAUUUGUUAAGUAAUGUAAUGUGUACUUGUCAGUUU
RNAcentral lists this transfer RNA (62 nucleotides) under Mytilisepta keenae. RNAcentral's name for it is "tRNA-Ser". The record is from RNAcentral. Lineage: Eukaryota; Metazoa; Mollusca; Bivalvia; Mytilida; Mytilidae.